ACGGAGGGGGCUAGCGUUGUUCGGAAUUACUGGGCGUAAAGCGCGCGUAGGCGGUUUAUCAAGUUAGACGUGAAAGCCCUGGGCUCAACCCAGGAACUGCGUUUGAUACUGGUUGACUAGAGGCCGGGAGAGGGUAGUGGAAUUCCCAGUGUAGAGGUGAAAUUCGUAGAUAUUGGGAAGAACACCGGUGGCGAAGGCGGCUACCUGGACCGGACCUGACGCUGAGGUGCGAAAGCGUGGGGAGCAAACAGG
Molecule: ribosomal RNA, 252 nt
Filed under: uncultured bacterium
Lineage: Bacteria
Description: partial 16S ribosomal RNA
Rfam family: Bacterial small subunit ribosomal RNA
Source: RNAcentral